UCCUGGCUCAGAUUGAACGCUGGCGGCAGGCCUAACACAUGCAAGUCGAGCGGAUGAAGGGAGCUUGCUCCUGGAUUCAGCGGCGGACGGGUGAGUAAUGCCUAGGAAUCUGCCUGGUAGUGGGGGAUAACGUCCGGAAACGGGCGCUAAUACCGCAUACGUCCUGAGGGAGAAAGUGGGGGAUCUUCGGACCUCACGCUAUCAGAUGAGCCUAGGUCGGAUUAGCUAGUUGGUGGGGUAAAGGCCUACCAAGGCGACGAUCCGUAACUGGUCUGAGAGGAUGAUCAGUCACACUGGAACUGAGACACGGUCCAGACUCCUACGGGAGGCAGCAGUGGGGAAUAUUGGACAAUGGGCGAAAGCCUGAUCCAGCCAUGCCGCGUGUGUGAAGAAGGUCUUCGGAUUGUAAAGCACUUUAAGUUGGGAGGAAGGGCAGUAAGUUAAUACCUUGCUGUUUGACGUACCAACAGA
This 471-nucleotide ribosomal RNA is filed under the name Pseudomonas aeruginosa. RNAcentral's name for it is "bacterial SSU rRNA". It matches the Rfam family "Bacterial small subunit ribosomal RNA", at positions 17 to 485 of the family's 1533-position model. The record is from RNAcentral. Lineage: Bacteria; Pseudomonadati; Pseudomonadota; Gammaproteobacteria; Pseudomonadales; Pseudomonadaceae.